Salvelinus fontinalis (brook trout) is the source of this 4447-nucleotide long non-coding RNA. RefSeq lists it as uncharacterized. The record is from RefSeq and is a predicted model, not a curated record. The transcript is spliced from 2 exons. Lineage: Eukaryota; Metazoa; Chordata; Actinopteri; Salmoniformes; Salmonidae.
GGCAACUCCCAUGGUCUUCUAACAGGUGUCUGGCAAUUAGGAACAGGAGCAAUGACACUAGGCUUCAGUCAACACCUGACAUCCAGGACUUCUAUAACAGAGGAAGUCCCCAAAAAUGGUCAAAUACUCCAGCCAUCCAAGCCGUAGACUGUACUCUCUGCCACCACACGGCAAUCGGAAUCAGUGCAUCAGUCUGGAACCAACAGGACCCUGAACUGCUUCUACACCCAAGCCAUAAGACUGCUAAACAAGGCUGCUAUAUAGCUAAUCAAAUGGCUACCCAGACUGCCUGUAUGGUCCUUUUUUUUUUGCGCUCAGUCUCUUGCACUGACUAUGCACACACACUGGACUCUACCCACCCACUCACACAUAGUUACACUGACACUCCAGCACACACAGACAUACGCACACACACAUACGCUACAUAUGCACACGCAUGCAUACUGACACCACACACCACAAAUGCUGUUGCUAAUGUCGUAUCUAUCCUGUUGCCUAGUCACUCUACCUAUAUGUACAUACAGUUGAAGUCGGAAGUUUACAUACACUUAGGUUGGAGUCAUUAAAACUCGUUUUGCAACCAUCUCACAAAUUUAUUGUUAACAAACUAUAGUUUUGGCAAGUCAGUUAGGACAUCUACUUUGUGCAUGACACAAGUAAUUUUUUUCAACAAUUGUUUAGACAGAUUAUUUCACUAUUAACUCACUGUAUCACAAUUACAGUGGGCCAGAAGUUUACAUACACUACCGUAAGUUGACUGUGCCUUCAAACAGCUUGGAAAAAUCCAGAAAAUGAUGUCAUGACUUUAGAAGCAUCUGAUAGGCUAAUUUACAUUAUUUGAGUCAAUUGGAGGUGUACCUGUGGAUGUAUUUCAAGGCCUACCUUCAAACUCAGUGCCUCUUUGCUUGACACCAUGGGACAAUCAAAAGAAACCAGCCAAGACCUCAGAAAAUAAAUUGUAGACCCCCACAAGUCUGGUUCAACCUUGGGAGCAAUUUCCAAACGCCUGAAGGUACCACGUUCAUCUGUACAAAAAAUAGUACGCAAGUAUAAACACCAUGGGACCCCGCAGCCAUCAUACCGCUCAAGAAGGAAACGCGUUCUGUCUCCUAGAGAUGAAUGUACUUUGGUGCAAAAAGUGCAAAUCAAUCCCAGAACAACAGCAAAGGACCCUGUGAAGAUGCUGGAGGAAACCGGUACAAAAUUAUCUAUAUCCACAGUAAAACGAGUCCUACAUCGACAUACCCUGAAAGGCCGCUCAGCAAGGAAGAAGCCACUACUCCAAAACCACCAUUACAAAAACCAGACUACGGUUUGCAACUGCACAUGGGGACAAAGAUUGUACUUUUUGGAGAAAUGUCCUCUGGUCUGAUGAAACAAAAAUAGAACUGUUUGGCCAUAAUGAUCAUCGUUAUGUUUGGAGGAGAAAGGGGGAGGCUUGCAAGCCGAAUAACACCAUCCCAACCGUGAAGCACGGGGGUGGCGUCAUGUUGUGGGGGUGCUUUGCUGCAGGAGGGACAGAUGUGCUUCACAAAAUAGAUGGCAUCAUGAGACAGGAAAAUUAUGUAGAUAUAAUGAAGCAACAUCUCAAGGAAGUUGAAGCAACAUCUCAAGGAAGUUAAAGCUUGGUCGCAAAUGGGUCUUCCAAAUGGACAAUGACCCCAAGCGUACUUCCAAAGUUGUGGCAAAAUGGCUUAAGGACAACAAAGUCAAGGUAUUGCAGUGGCCUUCACAAAGCCCUGACCUCAAUCCCAUAGAACAUUUGUGGGCAGAACUGAAAAAGCAUGUGCGAACAAGGAGGCCUACAAACCUGACUCAGUUACACCAGCUCUGUCAGGAGGAAUGGACCAAAAUUCACCCAACUUAUUGUGUGAAGCAUGUGGAAGGCUACCCAAAAUGUUUGACCCAAGUUAAACAAUUUAAAGGCAAUGCUACCAAAUACUAAUUGAGUGUAUGUAAACUUCUGACCCACUGGGAUUGUGAUGAAAUAAAUAAAAGCUGAAAUAAAUCAUUCUCUCUACUAUUAUUCUGACAUUUCACAUUCUUAAAAUAAAGUAGUGAUCUAACUGACCUAAGACGGGGCAUUUUUACUAGGAUUAAAUGUCAGGAAUUGUGAAAAACAGAGUUUAAAUGUAUUUGGCUAAGGUGUAUGCAAACUUCCGACUUCAACUGUAACUACCUCAAUUACCUCGUACCCCUUGCACAUUCCACUGUUACUCCCUGUAUAUAGCAAUCCCACUGUGCACAGACGCCAAUUCAACAUCUAUUUCAUAUUGGUUCAAUGUAAUUUCAUUGAAAUUACGUGGAAAAAAACGUUGAUUCAACCUGUGCGUUCCCAGUCGAACACACUGGUUAAUCACUGUAAUUAUUUUUGGUCACUAUUUCCCUUCAAAAAUAUACUCUGCAUUGUUGGAAAAGGACUUGUAAGCAAGCAUUUCACUGUUUGUCUACACCUGUUGUUUACAAAACAUGUGACAGAUAAAAAUGAUUUUUAUUUGAACAUGACAAAUGGAUGGAGAGGAACCGUGCAGAAGUUUUCGCAACUUUGUUCCUGAAGACCUUGAUAGUCAAUGCUCAUUAAUCAGGCUGAAAAUAGCUAAACAUUUGAAUGUGCAAUGACACCAACACUCACUCACACACAGCUGAGGCCGGCAGAGAUAGAGUUAAAGGCCCAGCCAAAGCAAAAGGCCAAUGAUGCAGACACUCUCUGUUACUACAUGUGCCUAGUGAAUGUGUGCGUCAUGACUGGUAAAAACAAUGACACAUGCUUCUACAGUAGAGUUUAUCAGAAUCUAAAGGAAUAAGACCCAUUUAGUGCUAAUAGUUCAUUCUCAUCACUUUUUUUUAUACCAAUAUACCUCUUUGAGGAAUUUCACCCUGGGAAAAUCUGGGCUUGGUUUCAUCAUGUCUGAAGCAUUUCUAGGACAGUGAGAUGUGUUUCACACGCAAUUAACGUGUAGCAAGGCAGGUCAGGGCUUCGCACGCUGAAUGAUGCACCCUAUGGCGGCUUCCAGUGUAUUGAUGGGGCGGGGGUUAAGAUCUAAAAACACAUGUAGUCCUGCUUCGUGGCAUUUCGCAAAGGCUCUAUGUUAUACUGAUCAUUGUUGUGGGUGUAGAUAUGGUUGUCCUUGUUCAAUAGAGCCAUUGGACUUCUUUCAGCAAUGUUCCUAUUGGCGGAUUCAUUGCUAAAUAUACAAGCAGACCAUUCUUUUUCCGGUCUCUGCAAGACUACAACUUGUGUUGUGCAGUGCUUUGUGCUCCAGCCCCCGUCACUCCCCCAAGGCGGGUUUCAUUUAAAUGGAGGCGGACACGAACAACAAUCCUUUGGGCAAAAACUGAAUGAGCUCACCAAGACACAAUGGCUUCAAGUGAUUCCUCUCAUCAACAUGAAUUUCGACGAUGGAGCUAUCUAUUAGCUACAUGGUGACGUUCAAGCCCACAUGUUUCAAUCGGAAGAUGGCGAAGAGGAUUCGAAUCAAAGAGUUGGAUUGAGCUAAUAUUAGAAGCUCAGCUAAAGCCGAUGCCAGCACCUAGAGGGCAGAUGACAAAUGCGGUACUUAGCUAAACAAUACCGUAUGGUGCCUGGGCAUCUUCCUGGAGUGGAUUCUAGAUAUAGAAACAGAAUUCCUUUGCCUGCAUGUGUCAUUGUAGCAGAACUGUAUCCCGUGAACUGUAUCCCUCUCGGGGAUUAGACAUUAUGCUAAAUUUCAAGCAGAUGACUCAUGAGGAGCUGAAUGGCAGUUUGAUCAUGAUGCUUCUCCCACAUCUUUACAAGUAUUCCCUGAACUUACUGUAUGUUUCUUUGGAAUGGAAAUUUUAUCCUGACCACCUCUCCCAUCUGCUGAUCACCAGUUCUGUCAGCUACAGAUUGUUAAAUAAUGUGAUUUAACCAAAGAUUUUUGGAAUCUAUUACUGGGAGUUACAGGAUAGGUACUGUUUGGUGUGGCAGAGAAUUUUCGGACAACCUUAGCAAUUCCGUCUUCAUCCUCGAUUUGGGGGAUAAAGGAGUUUCACAAAAUGCCAUUGUCCGGUUGCAUUGGGUCAGGUUGAAUUUAGAAAAUGCUCUGUUAUGAAAAUACUUCUUUGCUCCAUAAAGUAAUUCAACAAUAUUUGCGCUGCCAUCAUGUCUUCUCACUCAUUGAUCGAGACAGGUCUCUGUCACAUGACUUGCAGCACUUUGGGGUGGACACCCACCUGUUAUGAUCAAUGAAAGAAGACUUAUCAUCACCAAGAUGUCUGCAGAAAUCUGUGGGUAAAUCACAUUAUCUAGUGUAACAAUCUGUAGCUACAGUUCUCUGCACUUGUGUGUCUCUACACCUGAGAUGCACUCGGACACACUGAACUGUACUACACUGUUAAUUUAAAAAAAGUGUUACUUUUACCAUGUAACAUUGUUGUUGAAUACACAGUUGUUUUGAGUUAGCAUUAAAGAGUGUACAUUCCUAUA